GCAGGCUGCAACUCGCCUGCAUGAAGUCGGAAUUGCUAGUAAUCGCAGAUCAGCAUGCUGCGGUGAAUACGUUCCCGGGCCUUGUACACACCCGCCCGUCACACCAUGGGAGUCGGUAACACCCGAAGUCGGUAGUCUAACCGAAAGGAGGACGCCGCCGAAGGUGGGAUUGAUGACUGGGGUGAAGUCGUAACAAGGUAAC
Molecule: ribosomal RNA, 202 nt
Filed under: uncultured bacterium
Lineage: Bacteria
Description: partial 16S ribosomal RNA
Rfam family: Bacterial small subunit ribosomal RNA
Source: RNAcentral